Molecule: transfer RNA, 73 nt
Filed under: bacterium
Lineage: Bacteria
Also listed under: 6 other names
Description: tRNA-Phe
Rfam family: tRNA
About the family: Transfer RNA (tRNA) molecules are approximately 80 nucleotides in length. Their secondary structure includes four short double-helical elements and three loops (D, anti-codon, and T loops). Further hydrogen bonds mediate the characteristic L-shaped molecular structure. tRNAs have two regions of fundamental functional importance: the anti-codon, which is responsible for specific mRNA codon recognition, and the 3' end, to which the tRNAs corresponding amino acid is attached (by aminoacyl-tRNA synthetases). tRNAs cope with the degeneracy of the genetic code in two manners: having more than one tRNA (with a specific anti-codon) for a particular amino acid; and 'wobble' base-pairing, i.e. permitting non-standard base-pairing at the 3rd anti-codon position.
Source: RNAcentral
GGGCAGGUAGCUCAGUUGGUAGAGCAACGGACUGAAAAUCCGUGUGUCGGCGGUUCAAGUCCGCCCCUGCCCA